UACAGAGGUCUCAAGCGUUGUUCGGAUUCAUUGGGCGUAAAGGGUGCGUAGGCGGCGCGGUAAGUCGGGUGUGAAAUCUUGGAGCUUAACUCCGAAACUGCAUUCGAUACUGCCGUGCUUGAGGACUGGAGAGGAGACUGGAAUUUACGGUGUAGCGGUGAAAUGCGUAGAUAUCGUAAGGAAGACCAGUGGCGAAGGCGGAUCUCUGGACAGUUACUGACACUGAGGCACGAAGGCCAGGGGAGCAAACGGG
Molecule: ribosomal RNA, 253 nt
Filed under: uncultured bacterium
Lineage: Bacteria
Description: partial 16S ribosomal RNA
Rfam family: Bacterial small subunit ribosomal RNA
Source: RNAcentral